AUGGUGCCGCCGCCGCCGCCGCCGCCGUCUGAUCAAAGUAGGCUCAUCGUCGUCCGCUUGGUCGUCGGCUUCGCGGCCUUUCUGUUCGCAGUGUUCCUCUGCGGCUGCUGCAAGGGAUAUCGAAACAGUCAGGCUCGGGCCGUGGCCGCUCAACAGAGCCCGCAGCCACGGCUGCUCCGAGAUCUACAGCUUCGAGGGGCCUGCGCCACCAAACGGACGGCCCGUCUCCCGGCGUUCACGUACAGCGGGCCGGUGAAGCACAACGUGACGGGCGGAGGGGAGGAGGCGGCGACGUGCUCGGUGUGCCUCGGCGCGUUCCAGCUCGGGGAGACGGUGCGGCUGCUGCCGGCGUGCCUGCACCUGUAUCACGUGGAGUGCAUCGACCCGUGGCUGGACGCGCACUCGACGUGCCCGCUCUGCCGCUCGGACGCCGACCCGACAGCGGGCGGCCGGCUACUGCCUGUCUAG
This 468-nucleotide ribosomal RNA is filed under the name Triticum aestivum (bread wheat). Its description in RNAcentral is "partial small subunit ribosomal RNA". Lineage: Eukaryota; Viridiplantae; Streptophyta; Magnoliopsida; Poales; Poaceae. The record is from RNAcentral.